This is a long non-coding RNA of Neltuma alba, 568 nucleotides long. RefSeq lists it as uncharacterized. The record is from RefSeq and is a predicted model, not a curated record. The transcript is spliced from 2 exons. Lineage: Eukaryota; Viridiplantae; Streptophyta; Magnoliopsida; Fabales; Fabaceae.
CGCAUGUUUCAGUGAGCAGGACCUCUCGAUGUGAUUACUCUCUUUCUUUUGGGAGAAAAUCAUAUUUACUUUCCAUCAGAUAGCGUGUACUCGGCGAAGCAAGUGCAAUUUUUGAGGAAUAAGAGCAACACAUUGCUGCAGUGUCUACUCUGAGGAUAAUGAUCAAACCAGGCGUCAAACCAACCUUGGGGACCAUUCUGGUAAAAAACCAGAGAAAGGAUUCUGUUUUAAUCUCAGAACAAAGAGUGGAGAAUAAAGAUGCUGGGAUAAGGUUGUCCUUUUCCUCUCCCUUUUACCCUUUGUCGAGCAUUUUUCUUUCUUUUCUAUCUCUGCUUCAAAAGCUUUAAAGGUUGUGAAUCCAUUUUUAGGUUGCUUGAGCUCAUAGAGCUGUGGCAGUAAUGGGGUUUUAGUUUGAAAACGCUGUGUCAAAUCUCUAUAUAUUUGCAGGAACUAGAUCCUUGGUGCCUCGUAGUGCAAUAGUUAGUGGUUUCACUGUAUAAGAUAUUUAUUUGUAUUUUACGAUUUAAAAAAUAACCGUACUGGUGAUAAGCAACCAGAAGUUCACUUC